CCGAGUUUACAACUCCCAAACCCUUUGUGAACCUUACCUAUCGUUGCUUCGGCGGGAUCGCCCUGGCGCCUCCGGGCGCCGGAUCUCAGGCACCCGCCGGGGGCCCGAAACUCUUAGUUUAUUGUAGUGUUUUCUCUCCGAGUGGCACAAGCAAAAAUAAAUCA
Molecule: unclassified non-coding RNA, 164 nt
Filed under: uncultured Volutella
Lineage: Eukaryota; Fungi; Ascomycota; Sordariomycetes; Hypocreales; Nectriaceae
Description: sequence contains ITS1
Source: RNAcentral